AUGGAUGAGCGAUGGAUAUCAAGUCCUUGGCCUUGUUUCAAGCCAAUGACAAAUAUGGUCCACAUAGAUGAGAAAUGGUAUGACAUGACUCGAGUGAAGAGCAGCAACUAUGUACUGCCUAGAGAAGAACAACCAAAUCGUACUGUGCACAAUACUCAUAGCAUUGGGAAGGACGAGGCACAACGAACCAGCCACAAUAGAGAUAGAGGGACAAUAGAGCUGAGGCAAGCGAAAGUAACCCGGCCUGUAUGCAAAGAUUACCUGAUCAAUAAAGUAAUCCCUUCCAUUCAAGACAAAUGUCCUAACGGUGACAAGGACACAACAAUCUUCAUUCCACAAGAUAAUGCAACACCACAUGUCCUCCCUAAUGAUGCUGGGUUUUUAGAAGCUGCGGCACAAAGAGAUCUGGAUAUUUGA
Molecule: ribosomal RNA, 417 nt
Filed under: Triticum aestivum (bread wheat)
Lineage: Eukaryota; Viridiplantae; Streptophyta; Magnoliopsida; Poales; Poaceae
Description: partial small subunit ribosomal RNA
Source: RNAcentral